This is a long non-coding RNA of Ictalurus punctatus (channel catfish), 3685 nucleotides long. The record is from Ensembl. NCBI's taxonomy places the organism in Eukaryota, Metazoa, Chordata, Actinopteri, Siluriformes, Ictaluridae.
GUCAUGUCUCAGAUGCGACCAAGACUGAACGCACGGACUUCUCCAGAGCGCCGAGGUGCUGCAGUGUGUGUGUGUGUGUGUGUGUGUGUGUGUGUGUGAAACUGGAUAUUUAAGAGCUCGGAUCGGCGGUGACAGUGGACACACACACACACACACACACACACACACACACACACACACUGCGAGGGACGUUGAGGACUUGAACGCGGCAUGAAGCAGGCGGAGGGAAUGAGCGCUCGCCCUCGUGCAGCGCGUGCAGUGAUGCGCGUCUAUAAACGUGACUGAGCAGCUCAUGAAGCAGAGGCGGUAUGUGGGAAUCAUCAGAGCUGUUUCAGAUAGCGGUGAAGCUGAAAGAGCAUCUCGGAGCAGUAGCCCAUCUCAACCAUCCAGCGGUUCACACAAACAUGAAAACACACAGGCAGCGCGCGCUUCAAGAGGAGCAACUCCAAGUUCAGUUCAGGUAAAAGAUACAUACUAAACCCUUCAACGUGUCCCAUUGAAGGUACCUCACCCCAGCUACAAGGUAAAGUAUGCUUUAAUACCUUGUUUUGAGAGUGUAUGUGCAGAUUACUGAGUAGAUUUUCACUACCUACUGUUAGUCUUCAUUCUUCAGCUUUUAACAUGGUGUGAAUAGAAGCAUGUUGCAAGUUAAAGGAAUAUUUUCUAGGCUAAUUUUCUCUCCUUUUUCCCUUUAAAAGUGAAAACACAUAUCAUAGCCUCUCCCAUCCUCUCCUCCUUUAUUUAGCUACCUACAGUCAAAAAGGAUCAAUCUAACACCCUAACAUUUUUUCUAACUUGUCUCUCUGAUAGAACCCUUAAAGGUUCUAUGUAGAACUGAAUAAGCAGGUUUUCCUUUAAGAGAGUAUCAAGUAGAACCUCUCGAGACAGCUAGAACCAUUAACAAUCCAAAGAGGAACUUUUUCGUUUUUUUCUCUAAUAGCGUGCUGUGAAAGUAGGCCUUUGCUGUCUAAUGCUUUGCACAUUGACAUUCUCUUUAAUUUCCUGCAGUGCGUUUUCCCCACAGGGUCGCAGUUCAAAACGCUUUCUGUUCAGUUCAGUUUUUAACAGAAGAUUUUAAGUGUCAGUGUGUUGGCAGUCCUUUAGAGUCCGAGCCUUCCGUUAGCCCAAAACAGUAUUUCUCCAUCGGGACUUGAUAAGAACCCUAUAACAAACAUUCUAAACCAAUCUGUGAAAAAUGUGCCACUCAGUCCUGACAUGUUACAGAGACUGAUGAAGAAGUCAAGGAGUGCGGCAGUUCCUGCGGCAGAAUGUGGAAAGUGCAGAUUUUAUCUAGUCCACUCGAUUUUCCUCAGCGUAUGACGAAACGGGUCAGAGGUUCUUAACUGCAGUAUUGCAGAGUUCCCUACCCUCAACACACCUAACCCACUUUUAGCACCUAAUAAUUAGCUGAUUGGUUGGCAAUAUUGAAAAGUUUAAACUGUACAGGAUAGGCGUCCCCAGGAAUGGAUUUGAGAACCACUUUGAUAAGCAGAACCCUUAACUGUUCAAUGUAGAAAUCUUUGGAGUAGAAUCACUUCUGAAGCUAAAAACUAUGCAAAGAACCCUUGAAAAAUCCUUGAAGUGUAUAAAUAGCUAAUCUUUGAACUUGUUCUUGGUAAAGAGAGCUGAUGAGAGAAAUUGAAAUACCUCAUUCAACUGACAUUUCUUUUUUAGUCAGUGCAGGAUACUCUUAUUCUCGUGUCUUUUUCCUCUCGGAUCAACCACAAGAGACAUGCGAUGACAUUCAAGUGUCUUUGGUAGGUUAUUUGCUAAAUUAUUGUGAUGAUAAUAUGAGAGAUUAUGAACUGAAGAAACACUUGUGUUGUAAAUAAGCCUAAAUAGUUUUGGCAUAGCCUAAAUAGGCAUAUUUAUUAGUUGCGUGUAUCUCGUCACAUUUUGCUGAGAGUAGGGCAAAGAGCAUUUUGGGCUAAAAUAAAUGCAAGCUUUGAAGUAUUCCUACAGUAAUGAGCAAAUUAGUUUAUGUCAGUUCUUGAAAUGUAACUGAAGUCAGUAAACAUACACCUCUUAACUAUUAGCUGAGGUGUCUAUGGAGGGAAGAAGAAAGAAAUCGUAGCAAAUAUGACUUCUUUUUCCACUUUUAUUCUAAUCCCUCAUGAGUUAAAUAUACUGUUGGUAUGAGCUUUAGGAAAACCAUGCUGCUAAAAUCCCCAACAUGGCUCUGGCCCAGCCUGAGCUAGGCUUUUCAUGUGGAUUGAAAGUCAGAAAGAGUUUUGACGAAACGAAACAAUCAUUUAUUAAAGCUGUAAUGAGCUCACCAGUUAGCUAGCAGCAUUUUCUUUUCCACAAUCUUGACAUAUUCCAUUAUCAGCUUAGUGAGCAUCUCUUAUGAAAUUGCAUGCGAUUAAUGCUGAUCAAACAGGAAUAAGGAAAGUUACUCAAAUAUGGCAGAUGCUGAGCACUCAGAUUUUCCUUUUGAAUAAAGCACAUAAAGUGCUGCACAGGGCUCCUACGCUUACUGUUUGAUUCCACUCCUGGCACUAAAUAUGCGGAUUGGCCGCUGCUGGUACAGAGGAAGGAUGUUGUCGGGCCUGAGGAUUGUGGAUAGUGGGGUACCAGUAGGCUAAUGGAACAGUGUGCAGCAUUGUUCUGGUGGCAGGCAGAGCUAUGGCUCUAUUUGUGGUGGGUCCGGAGUACAAAGAGGACACAGUACAAAGCAGCCUCAUACCGACCUCGACAUCACAGCCCACACGUUCUGCCUCAGCUUUAAGGUGGGAAAGGCUCUCGGAAGUGUUCAUUGUGGCUGCUCCCGUUGGCCUUGGUGCCUCUUAUGUCUUUGCAGUGUGUAUAAUAGCCCAUUGUUACAAUCAAACAGCCAAGGAGAGACGUUUUACCAAAGCAGAGUUCCAGUCACGUAUCUGCCGUUGUCCUGAUUGUCUAACAGCUACUUAUUCUUUUGCAUCAAUACUGUAAUUACAAGUCCCAUUAAUCGCCUGCAGCCACCGCAGCAAGGCACCAUGCGAGCUCAUUUAUCUAUUUUGCUGUCAAACUGAUAAUAAAAGGCUUUUCAGAUAAGGAAUGGGAUAAAUGCAUUAAUGGCUGGCAUAAUUCUCUUUUAAGGUGAGCUGAAAUACAACUUCCAUUAUAUGAUUUCCUCUUUCUCUGCAUUUUAAUACAUUCUCCUAGGUCUCAUAUUGGAUGAAACCAAAACAUUUUAGAUUGUCCAAUUCCGGAUAGUGUCCUUCACUUUUCCAAUAUAUUGUCACUUAGAUAUAAAAUCACGUCACCCCUCCUUUCUGGCCGACAAUGUCAAAGCUGUACAGAACACCACAUCCAUAUUCACGCUCUCUAAUUUCCUUGCUAUCUGAUUGAGCCCAGGCCAGAUUUCGCCCGUUUUGUCAGCGUGCAAGUUUCCCCCAUCGACUCUUCUUUCUGUUCACCUCGAUGUCCUUGGGCUGCCUGGUAUCGCAUGGUGCUUGGUCAUGCAGCUUCGGAAGUCGUUUGACCCUCAAGGAGCUAUGAGGGAGCGUGGAAGCUGAAGGUGACCUGUGGCUGGGCCAGGGGCUGCAACACAGGACAUGGGAGCUGCCUCUCACUCCCGCUCGUGUCUUGUGUUGCAGCCAGUGGAACUGCUGCACUGUGCACAUCACAAGGACGUCCUACAUCAGAAGCUGACUUUUUUUGUGUGUUUAGCAUGUACAUAAAUGUGCGCAUUCCUAAAUAAAAA